CAGUCGACGAGCAAUACAUUUGAUUUCUUCGGAAUGAAGAUGUAGGCGCGAGUGGCGGACGGGUGAGUAACGCGUGAGUAAUCUGCCUCAUACAGGAGAAUAACACUAAGAAAUUGGUGCUAAUACUCCAUAAGCUCACAUUAUGACAUCAUAGAGUGAGAAAAGAUUUAUCGGUAUGAGAGGAGCUCGCGUCUGAUUAGCUAGUUGGUGGGGUAACGGCCUACCAAGGCGACGAUCAGUAGCCGACCUGAGAGGGUGAUCGGCCACAUUGGAACUGAGACACGGUCCAAACUCCUACGGGAGGCAGCAGUGGGGAAUAUUGCACAAUGGGGGAAACCCUGAUGCAGCAACGCCGCGUGAAGGAAGAAGUAUUUCGGUAUGUAAACUUCUAUCGACAGGGAAGAAACAAAUGACGGUACCUGAAUAAGAAGCACCGGCUAAAUACGUGCCAGCAGCCGCGGUAAUACGUAUGGUGCAAGCGUUAUCCGGAUUUACUGGGUGUAAAGGGUGAGUAGGCGGUCAUGCAAGUCAUAUGUGAAAUGUCAGGGCUUAACCUUGGCGCUGCAUAAGAAACUGUAUGACUAGAGUGCAGGAGAGGUAAGCGGAAUUCCUAGUGUAGCGGUGAAAUGCGUAGAUAUUAGGAAGAACACCGGUGGCGAAGGCGGCUUACUGGACUGUUACUGACGCUGAGUCACGAAAGCGUGGGGAGCAAACAGGAUUAGAUACCCUGGUAGUCCACGCCGUAAACGAUGAGUGCUAGGUGUUGGC
This 768-nucleotide ribosomal RNA is filed under the name uncultured bacterium. RNAcentral describes it as "bacterial SSU rRNA". It matches the Rfam family "Bacterial small subunit ribosomal RNA", at positions 59 to 827 of the family's 1533-position model. The record is from RNAcentral.